AACGAACGCUGGCGGCAUGCCUAACACAUGCAAGUCGAGCGAGAAAGCACUUCGGUGUGAGUAGAGUGGCGCACGGGUGAGUAACACGUAGGUGACCUAUCGUACAGUGGGGGAUAACCAGAAGAAAUUCUGGCUAAUACCGCAUACGCAGUACAAUUUUGAAAGUAGUACUGGAAAGGAUGCUUCGGCAUUCACUGAACGAUGGGCCUGCGUAGCAUUAGUUUGAUGGUGGGGUAACGGCCUACCAUGACUACGAUGCUUAGCUGGUCUGAGAGGAUGAUCAGCCACACUGGAACUGAGACACGGUCCAG
Molecule: ribosomal RNA, 311 nt
Filed under: uncultured Bacteriovorax sp.
Lineage: Bacteria; Pseudomonadati; Bdellovibrionota; Bacteriovoracia; Bacteriovoracales; Bacteriovoracaceae
Description: bacterial SSU rRNA
Rfam family: Bacterial small subunit ribosomal RNA
Source: RNAcentral